This 881-nucleotide ribosomal RNA is filed under the name 'Manilkara zapota' phytoplasma. RNAcentral's name for it is "bacterial SSU rRNA". It matches the Rfam family "Bacterial small subunit ribosomal RNA", at positions 366 to 1254 of the family's 1533-position model. The record is from RNAcentral. Lineage: Bacteria; Bacillati; Mycoplasmatota; Mollicutes; Acholeplasmatales; Acholeplasmataceae.
CGGCAAUGGAGGAAACUCUGACCGAGCAACGCCGCGUGAAUGACGAAGUACUUCGGUAUGUAAAGUUCUUUUAUCGAGGAAGAAAAGCAAAUGGCGAACCAUUUGUUUGCCGGUACUUGAUGAAUAAGCCCCGGCUAAUUAUGUGCCAGCAGCCGCGGUAAGACAUAAGGGGCAAGUGUUAUCCGGAAUUAUUGGGCGUAAAGGGUGCGUAGGCGGUCUAGUAAGUCAGUGGUGUAAUGGCAACGCUUAACGUUGUCCGGCUAUUGAAACUGCUAAACUUGAGUUAGAUAGAGGCGAGUGGAAUUCCAUGUGUAGCGGUAAAAUGCGUAAAUAUAUGGAGGGACACCAGAGGCGUAGGCGGCUCGCUGGGUCUUAACUGACGCUGAGGCACGAAAGCGUGGGGAGCAAACAGGAUUAGAUACCCUGGUAGUCCACGCCGUAAACGAUGAGUACUAAGUGUCGGGUUAAACCGGUACUGAAGUUAACACAUUAAGUACUCCGCCUGAGUAGUACGUACGCAAGUAUGAAAGUUAAAGGAAUUGACGGGACUCCGCACAAGCGGUGGAUCAUGUUGUUUAAUUCGAAGAUACCCGAAAAACCUUACCAGGUCUUGACAUGUUUUUGCAAAAUGAUAGUAAUAUCGUGGAGGUUACCAGAAACACAGGUGGUGCAUGGUUGUCGUCAGCUCGUGUCGUGAGAUGUUAGGUUAAGUCCUAAAACGAGCGAAACCCUUAUCGUUAGUUGCCAGCACGUUAUGGUGGGGACUUUAACGAGACUGCCAAUGAUAAAUUGGAGGAAGGUGAGGAUCACGUCAAAUCAGCAUGCCCCUUAUGACCUGGGCUACAAACGUGAUACAAUGGCUGUUACAAAGAGUAGCUGAA